This 497-nucleotide ribosomal RNA is filed under the name uncultured bacterium. Its description in RNAcentral is "partial 16S ribosomal RNA". It matches the Rfam family "Bacterial small subunit ribosomal RNA", at positions 28 to 507 of the family's 1533-position model. The record is from RNAcentral.
GAUGAACGCUGGCGGCGUGCCUAAUACAUGCAAGUCGAGCGAACGGACGAGAAGCUUGCUUCUCUGAUGUUAGCGGCGGACGGGUGAGUAACACGUGGAUAACCUACCUAUAAGACUGGGAUAACUUCGGGAAACCGUAGCUAAUACCGGAUAAUAUUUUGAACCGCAUGGUUCAAAAGUGAAAGACGGUCUUGCUGUCACUUAUAGAUUGAUCCGCGCUGCAUUAGCUAGUUGGUAAGGUAACGGCUUACCAAGGCAACGAUGCAUAGCCGACCUGAGAGGGUGAUCGGCCACACUGGAACUGAGACACGGUCCAGACGCCUACGGGAGGCAGCAGUAGGGAAUCUUCCGCAAUGGGCGAAAGCCUGACGGAGCAACGCCGCGUGAGUGAUGAAGGUCUUCGGAUCGUAAAACUCUGUUAUUAGGGAAGAACAUAUGUGUAAGUAACUGUGCACAUCUUGACGGUACCUAAUCAGAAAGCCACGGCUAACUACGUG